GUCUCAACUAGAUUUGUCCAUGAAUUGUAUCACCUGAUUCAACUCAAAAGCAUGUCCAAAAUAUGAGAGAGUUUAAAUAAGAAUAUAAACUUAAAAAAUAAGAUUUGGUUUAUGAAUGAGACUCAUUUUAAAAACGGACUGAUCUUGGAAAAUAUUGAACGCGAAGAUCUUUGUUCUUUCAACCAUUGUUCCCUUCAAUUUCCUUUUCACAAUCCUUCCUUUCCCUUUAAAUCUACGUUUCCUUAUUUGAACUCAAUUUUGUUCUCUUUUUACUACUUUUGAAAGUUUGGGGUUUUUUUGUUGCUUUGCUUUUUAUUCAUUUUGAUUCCAUUUGGAUUCAAUUCAGUCAAGGGAAAA
This is a long non-coding RNA of Gossypium arboreum, 357 nucleotides long. RefSeq lists it as uncharacterized. Lineage: Eukaryota; Viridiplantae; Streptophyta; Magnoliopsida; Malvales; Malvaceae. The record is from RefSeq and is a predicted model, not a curated record. The transcript is spliced from 2 exons.